GACGAACGCUGGCGGCGUGCCUAACACAUGCAAGUCGAACGAGAAGGGGGCUUCGGUCCCUGGAAAGUGGCGCACGGGUGAGUAACGCGUGGAUAAUCUACCUAGCGGUCUGGGAUAACAUCUCGAAAGGGGUGCUAAUACCGGAUAAGCCCACGAGGUCUACGGACCUAGCGGGAAAAAGGGGGGACCUUCGGGCCUUUUGCCACUGGAUGAGUCCGCGUACCAUUAGCUAGUUGGUGGGGUAAUGGCCCACCAAGGCUACGAUGGUUAGCCGGUCUGAGAGGAUGAUCAGCCGCAAUGGAACUGAGACACGGUCCAGACUCCUACGGGAGGCAGCAGUGGGGAAUUUUGCGCAAGGGGCGAAAGCCUGACGCAGCAACGCCGCGUGAGUGAUGAAGGCCCUCGGGUCGUAAAGCUCUGUCGGGAGGGAAGAAGUGAUUAAGGGUUAAUACCCCUUGAUCUUGACGGUACCUCCGAAGGAAGCACCGGCUAACUCCGUGCCAGCAGCCGCCGUAA
Molecule: ribosomal RNA, 516 nt
Filed under: uncultured bacterium
Lineage: Bacteria
Description: partial 16S ribosomal RNA
Rfam family: Bacterial small subunit ribosomal RNA
Source: RNAcentral